This 465-nucleotide ribosomal RNA is filed under the name Vreelandella stevensii. Its description in RNAcentral is "partial 16S ribosomal RNA". It matches the Rfam family "Bacterial small subunit ribosomal RNA", at positions 338 to 795 of the family's 1533-position model. The record is from RNAcentral. Lineage: Bacteria; Pseudomonadati; Pseudomonadota; Gammaproteobacteria; Oceanospirillales; Halomonadaceae.
CCUACGGGGGGCAGCAGUGGGGAAUAUUGGACAAUGGGGGGAACCCUGAUCCAGCCAUGCCGCGUGUGUGAAGAAGGCCCUCGGGUUGUAAAGCACUUUCAGUGAGGAAGAACGCCUGGUGGUUAAUACCCAUCAGGAAAGACAUCACUCACAGAAGAAGCACCGGCUAACUCCGUGCCAGCAGCCGCGGUAAUACGGAGGGUGCGAGCGUUAAUCGGAAUUACUGGGCGUAAAGCGCGCGUAGGUGGCUUGAUAAGCCGGUUGUGAAAGCCCCGGGCUCAACCUGGGAACGGCAUCCGGAACUGUCAAGCUCGAGUGCAGGAGAGGAAGGUAGAAUUCCCGGUGUAGCGGUGAAAUGCGUAGAGAUCGGGAGGAAUACCAGUGGCGAAGGCGGCCUUCUGGACUGACACUGACACUGAGGUGCGAAAGCGUGGGUAGCAAACAGGAUUAGAUACCCCUGUAGUC